Molecule: ribosomal RNA, 479 nt
Filed under: uncultured bacterium
Lineage: Bacteria
Description: SSU rRNA
Rfam family: Bacterial small subunit ribosomal RNA
Source: RNAcentral
AGGAUGAACGCUGGCGGCGUGCCUAACACAUGCAAGUCGAACGCGCUCCAUUCGGUAGCAAUACUGAUGAAGAGUGAGUGGCGAACGGGUGAGUAACACAUGAGCAACCUGCCCCGAAGACUGGGACAACACCGGGAAACCGGUGCUAAUACCGGAUAUCCCUAUCGGACCGCAUGAUCUGAUAAGGAAAUGUUUUUUCGCUUCGGGAGGGGCUCGUGGCCUAUCAGCUAGUUGGUGAGGUAAUAGCUCACCAAGGCGUCGACGGGUAGCUGGUCUGAGAGGACGAUCAGCCACACUGGGACUGAGACACGGCCCAGACUCCUACGGGAGGCAGCAGUGGGGAAUCUUGCGCAAUGGGCGAAAGCCUGACGCAGCAACGCCGCGUGGAGGACGAAUGCUUUCUGAGUUGUAAACUCCUUUCAGCAGGGACGAUUGUGACGGUACCUGCAGAAGAAGCACCGGCCAACUACGUGCCAGCA